RNAcentral lists this ribosomal RNA (284 nucleotides) under uncultured bacterium. RNAcentral's name for it is "partial 16S ribosomal RNA". It matches the Rfam family "Bacterial small subunit ribosomal RNA", at positions 338 to 619 of the family's 1533-position model. The record is from RNAcentral.
CCUACGGGGGGCAGCAGUGAGGAAUAUUGGUCAAUGGGCGAGAGCCUGAACCAGCCAAGUCGCGUGAGGGAGGACGGCCCUACGGGUUGUAAACCUCUUUUGCCGGGGGACAAACGGCGGCACGCGUGCCGUCCUGAGGGUACCCGGAGAAAAAGCAUCGGCUAACUCCGUGCCAGCAGCCGCGGUAAUACGGAGGAUGCGAGCGUUAUCCGGAUUUACUGGGGGUAAAGGGCGUGUAGGCGGGACUGCAAGUCAGAUGGGAAAACCACGGGCUCAACCUGGGG